CAAUGCAGCGCGGGAGAGAUCGUCAGACGUUCGUGACGACGCCGACGGAGCAACCGCCCCGGAAACUCUCAGGCAAAAGGACCGCGCAGCAGGA
Molecule: regulatory RNA element, 94 nt
Rfam family: Glycine riboswitch aptamer
About the family: This family represents the bacterial glycine riboswitch.
Source: Rfam